Molecule: ribosomal RNA, 253 nt
Filed under: uncultured bacterium
Lineage: Bacteria
Description: partial 16S ribosomal RNA
Rfam family: Bacterial small subunit ribosomal RNA
Source: RNAcentral
UACGUAGGGGGCAAGCGUUGUCCGGAAUCAUUGGGCGUAAAGAGCGUGUAGGCGGUCCUGUAAGUCCGCUGUGAAAGUCAAGGGCUCAACCCUUGAAUGCCGGUGGAUACUGCAGGACUAGAGUCCGGAAGAGGCGAGUGGAAUUCCUGGUGUAGCGGUGAAAUGCGCAGAUAUCAGGAGGAACACCGAUGGCGAAGGCGGAUCUCUGGGCCGAUACUGACGCUGAGGAGCGAAAGCGUGGGGAGCGAACAGG